This 233-nucleotide long non-coding RNA is filed under the name Mytilus galloprovincialis (Mediterranean mussel). The record is from RNAcentral. Lineage: Eukaryota; Metazoa; Mollusca; Bivalvia; Mytilida; Mytilidae.
GUAGAAGUUGGAUACAAGCAGGAUAGGUCGGUUGCAUUAUAUUCUAUCAAUCCGGAAAUUUUUAUACUCAUCACAUACUAAUGAAUUUCUCCCCCGAUUUGCUAUAAAAAAACUUCAAAUGUUCGUUACUUAACAAAACUUUACAAUCUAACUUACAAUAAAUUAUUUACGAAUUUUAAAGAGAUCACUAUUCGGGGUACUUGAGCACCCUGAAAAAUUCGCAAUGAAGUUAC